AGUGGCCUACGCAUCGCCAGUCCUGACAACAGCCUAGCAACAACUGGCUAGAGGCUAUGCCCACCUAGACCCCUUUGAGGUCAUGGGAUCACGGAGCCAGAAAUGCCUGUAGAGCAAUCUAGAUUUGAGGGGGAUGACAUUUGAACUGCGAUCUGAAGGGACAAGAGGAAGGUAGCCCUGAAAGGAACAUAGCGAAAAGCAUCCCUGGUAGAAGGAAAAUAAGCAAAGAUUGUGAGGCCGAAAUGAAGAGUAACAUCAAGGGAACUUGGUUUAUGAUACAGACGGCAUUACAAGUUUAGGCCAGCAUGUCUGGAGUAUGGUGCAAGAGAGAGAAAGAAGUGAAGAUGAGAUUG
This 353-nucleotide long non-coding RNA is filed under the name Homo sapiens (human). RNAcentral describes it as "non-protein coding lnc-PPT1-1:3". Lineage: Eukaryota; Metazoa; Chordata; Mammalia; Primates; Hominidae. The record is from RNAcentral.